AUACGAAGGGGGCUAGCGUUGUUCGGAAUCACUGGGCGUAAAGCGCACGUAGGUGGAUCAAGCAGUUGAGGGUGAAAUCCCGGGGCUCAACCUCGGAACUGCCUUCAAUACUGUUGGUCUUGAGUCCGAGAGAGGUGAGUGGAAUUCCUAGUGUAGAGGUGAAAUUCGUAGAUAUUAGGAAGAACACCAGUGGCGAAGGCGGCUCACUGGCUCGGUACUGACGCUGAGGUGCGAAAGCGUGGGGAGCAAACAGGAUUAGAUACCCUAGUAGUCC
This 274-nucleotide ribosomal RNA is filed under the name uncultured bacterium. Its description in RNAcentral is "partial 16S ribosomal RNA". It matches the Rfam family "Bacterial small subunit ribosomal RNA", at positions 523 to 796 of the family's 1533-position model. The record is from RNAcentral.